AACUAAAAUAGAUUGUGAAAAAUU
RNAcentral lists this microRNA (24 nucleotides) under Brugia malayi. RNAcentral's name for it is "bma-miR-5854". Lineage: Eukaryota; Metazoa; Nematoda; Chromadorea; Rhabditida; Onchocercidae. RNAcentral also lists the same sequence under 1 other name. The record is from miRBase by way of RNAcentral.